This 650-nucleotide ribosomal RNA is filed under the name uncultured marine bacterium. RNAcentral's name for it is "bacterial SSU rRNA". It matches the Rfam family "Bacterial small subunit ribosomal RNA", at positions 79 to 725 of the family's 1533-position model. The record is from RNAcentral.
UGCUAUCUGCUGACGAGCGGCGGACGGGUGAGUAAUGCUUGGGAAUAUGCCUUAUGGUGGGGGACAACAGUUGGAAACGACUGCUAAUACCGCAUAACGUCUACGGACCAAAGGGGGGGAUCUUCGGACCUCUCGCCAUUUGAUUAGCCCAAGUGAGAUUAGCUAGUUGGUGAGGUAAUGGCUCACCAAGGCGACGAUCUCUAGCUGGUUUGAGAGGAUGAUCAGCCACACUGGGACUGAGACACGGCCCAGACUCCUACGGGAGGCAGCAGUGGGGAAUAUUGCACAAUGGGCGAAAGCCUGAUGCAGCCAUGCCGCGUGUGUGAAGAAGGCCUUCGGGUUGUAAAGCACUUUCAGUUGUGAGGAAAGGAUGUUUGUUAAUAGCAAGUAUCUGUGACGUUAACAACAGAAGAAGCACCGGCUAACUUCGUGCCAGCAGCCGCGGUAAUACGAGGGGUGCAAGCGUUAAUCGGAAUUACUGGGCGUAAAGCGUUCGUAGGCGGUCUAUUAAGCAAGAUGUGAAAGCCCAGGGCUCAACCUUGGAACUGCAUUUUGAACUGGUAGACUAGAGUACUGUAGAGGGUGGUGGAAUUUCCAGUGUAGCGGUGAAAUGCGUAGAGAUUGGAAGGAACAUCAGUGGCGAAGGCGGC